Cavia porcellus (domestic guinea pig) is the source of this 58-nucleotide transfer RNA. It matches the Rfam family "tRNA". Rfam says of the family: Transfer RNA (tRNA) molecules are approximately 80 nucleotides in length. Lineage: Eukaryota; Metazoa; Chordata; Mammalia; Rodentia; Caviidae. The record is from Rfam.
GGGGAUUUAGCUCAGCAGCAUAAGCACCUGCCUUGCAAGCAGGUGAGUUCAAUCCUCG